This 2439-nucleotide long non-coding RNA is filed under the name Dasypus novemcinctus (nine-banded armadillo). RNAcentral describes it as "lncRNA (ENSDNOG00000051505.1)". The record is from RNAcentral. Lineage: Eukaryota; Metazoa; Chordata; Mammalia; Cingulata; Dasypodidae.
CGCGCGCCGGCGGGUGGGGAGCGCGAAGCAGGGCGCCUCCCGCCGCCUGGCUGGGACCACGUGGCCGUCCUCGUCGCACCUUGGGGACACACCCCCUCCGCCUGCCUCCUCUCCGCCGUCCGCCCCCCGGCAGGCGGUCAGCGGCAGCGUCACCUGCUGAAGUUCUGGCGCAAUCCCUGGCCUUGGCGGGGUGGGGGAGAAUGUCUCACGUGGCGACAGUGACUACAGCGUUGAUAAGGGUAAUAAUCACUCCGUCUACAUCCCAGGUGGAGGGGUUUCCACUGUCCCUGAAGCGUUUCCCCACCUCUUCCAGCCAAAUCACACAACUAGAGAGGCUGCUUGGGUCUUCCUCCUGAGUCACUGCUCAGUCUCUUUCCUCCAACAACUCCUCAUCGAGUACAAGGUCCGGGGACGCAGAGGCGAAUGCAAUGGAGGCUGCCCUCAGGGAACUGGAUGGCUGCAGGUCUCGGAAGGCCUCAGUCAAGGCCCCAAUCUUGGGGGCUCACCCCUAACACCCCUCCUUUGCCCUGUCCCAGAGUCUGGAAUGAGGGCUGCAGCUGGAGGUCGAGGCCUAGCCUGGAAUGAGAGGAGCCCGAGGCCUGGAAGGACAAGAAGGUGUGGCAGAAGACUGGCAGAAGAUAUAGCCUCCUUUUGAUUCAUAUUGACAAACUGCUUUUCAGAAAGGAGCCUUGAAACCCAGCUCUGCCACUUUCUUGCUGUGUGACUCUUAGCCUCUCUAUGCCUCAGUUUCUCAUCUGUAAAAUGGCUUCAUAAGAGUGUCCUGAAGGUAAAUAAGUACAUAAUGUAAGGCUCCCAGAGCAGUAGCUGGCAUACAGUGAUGUGCUGUGUAAGAGCUUGCUAUUUCCAGUAUGGCGUUGCAGUGGCCAGGGGACUAUUUCUAAUGACUCUGUUGUCAGGUGGUUCAGUAGCUUGACUUACACUGUCAUGGUGGGACUUCUCUUGGGGCAGGACAAACCCUGCUGCAUGUUUUACCUUCAUCCAGGCUCGGGGGGGAGAAGGCAGGGUGAGUACUGUGACGUCUCACUGUCACCAGAGUGAACUUGAACAACUCCAGAGACUUGUCAUAAGUAGACUUCCAAGGCCUUGCUGCUGCAGACCUUGCUGCUGGCUGGCUGUGAAUGCUCCUUGCUCGGAGAACCUCUGACUACCCGGGAACCCAUCUGCCUACCCUGCCACCUGGGAAAGAGAACAGGUUUUCUCCUGUCUUUUUUUAAGAUUUAUUUAUUUAUUUAAUUCCCCCCACCCCCCACCCCAGUUGUCUGUUCUCUGUGUCUAUUUGCUGCGUCUUGUUUCUUUGUCCGCUUCUGUUGUUGUCAGCGGCACGGGAAGUGUGGGCGGCGCCAUUCCUGGGCAGGCUGCACUUUUCUUUCACGCUGGGCGGCUCUCCUUAAGGGUGCACUCCUUGCGCGUGGGGCUCCCCUACGCGGGGGACACCCCUGUGUGGCGCGGCACUCCUUGCGCGCGUCAGCACUGUGCAUGGGCCAGCUCCACAUGGGUCAAGGAGGCCCGGGGCUUGAACUGCAGGCCUCCCAUGUGGUAGAUGGACGCCCUAACCACUGGGUCAAAGUCCGUUUCCCGGUUUUCUCCUUUCACUUCUCAUUGACACCUGUGGGUUUAUAAUAAUAACAACUAAUACAGUGAGUGCCCACUAUAUGCCAGACGCUAUUCUAAACAUUUUACAAGAGUUCUUUCAUUUCUUUCUCACAACGAUCCUUCCAAAUUGGUAUUUUAAAUGAAGGAAACUGAGUCUGAACACAGGGCCUGAACCCAGCAUCUUUCAUCCUAACUAUGACAUCCUACUAUCUCCUGUUUCAGAACAUGCAACUUCAGGGUGGAAAAUGCCAAAGAAUCCAAGAUUUCUUGGCCUGCUUCAUUCAUCAUCCACCCUUCCCCAGUGACAAGAAAAUUCUGUGUUAGAACCACUAGCAGCAAGCUGGCUGAGAAAUGAGGUGGGAGACAAGAAAUGGAUUACGUAUUUGCCAACUCUCCAAGCCUUUUCAGGUCAAAUUCUUGUACCCUGUUUGGGGUCUGGGUGGGUGGUUAGGGGACUGAGGAAAACGAGGCACUCUUCAGCGCAGGGGAAUGCAAAAGCACCAGGCCUGAUUAAGGAGUGACAGUACAGAAGACAGAUGCAUGGGGGGCAUGCUAUUUAUUGCCUUUCAGUUAAAUAUUGCUUGCUGUUAUUUUUUUUCCCUUGUAAACCUCCCAAAUAAAAUGGUUUGCUUUCUCCAAGUUGGAAAUGUUAACACGUCUUUUCUUUAAAUAUCUGUGCAUGGCUGUUUUUUUCCCUGCCAGUUUGUCACCAUCUGUAACCCUCCCUUUGUGAGAUGAUCUGAUGACAAUUAUCUUGGAGAGUAAAAGUGGCGGUCUUGAAGCAACGUAAAAGUGGAGUGAGAGUGGGCUGUGUGUGUGUGUGCG